Long non-coding RNA from Anarrhichthys ocellatus (wolf-eel), 1921 nucleotides. RefSeq lists it as uncharacterized. The record is from RefSeq and is a predicted model, not a curated record. Lineage: Eukaryota; Metazoa; Chordata; Actinopteri; Perciformes; Anarhichadidae. The transcript is spliced from 4 exons.
CGGAAAUGCGCUACUUUAGACUAUAUCGGUGGAAUAAAGUUGUUUCCGUUGUCAGUGCCGGAUAUGUUCCCGCUCCCUGGUUCGUUUCUACGGGUACAAAAACGUGAGCAGCCGUGACUCAGUCGCUGCUCCCGGGCCCGUCUAGUUCGAAGCGCUGGUUAGCAUCAUAGCUAGGCUAACGUUAAGCGCUUAGCAGCAUGUAGCCAAUCAGAGGCAGAGGGGCGGGUCUUCCCUCGAGGCGCUCCCGCACAUGCGCAGAACAGAUUGGGCGUCUGGAACAGAUCGGUCGCUGACAGCUUCUGUGUGAUUAUUUUAAUACCAUCAUAAGACUGACCAGGACUCAGUACGUCUGAGGAGAAGAACUCUUCAACAGACAUAUAUGGACUUUGUGACAAGGAAUGGAGGAUGGAAGGUGGAGGUUCCUCUAGAUCUGGUUUGUUGCCUGAGAAGAAGUCAAGAGGUCUCAUCAUGAUUUCAGGAAGUCUUCGUCACAAAAGGGACAUCUCCCUUAAAACGCGGCCAGAUUUCUAGCGGCCCAGAACGGGUGAACCCCCCCCCCCCCUGGCUCCAGAGAGGUCUCCGGACUCCUCAAGAUGUCUGAGUUACCGAGGUCGCCGUCAGCAGCCGGCAUCCUGCUGCUGCUUCCACUUUCUAAUCCUGCACCGCUUUCUGUUGAGAAAUAAUCUCUUUCAACCAAUUUAUUCAAGUUAAACACCAAUAAUGAUUUCUGUAAUUAUGAAACCUGUUUCAAGUUUAGCAGACGAUACGAUUUGGUUUACACAUGCGUACAUCAAAUCGUACAUAUUCUAUUCCUUUUAUAAAAAAGGAUAGAAUAAAGAAAAAAUAGAAAACUAUACAUGGAGAUGAAAUUUACAACAUUUUAAAUCAUAUACUAUAUUACAUUUAUAUUAUGUAUUAUUAUGUAAUCACAUAUAUUAUUCUGGUGUACACUUUUGUCUAGACUACACUUGCUGGCUCACUUUACCUCGUAACUUUGUCUUUAAUUGCUAUUGUUACGUUUUUUUUUGACUUGGGGUAUAUAUCUCUUUUAUAUAUUGUGUAUAUAUAUAUACGUAUAUUUUCAUUUUAAACUUUUGAAGAUACCAACUUGGGGUUGACUAACUCACUCUGCUUAAGCCUCAUAUUUACUUCAAAUAAACCUUGAAUACAUUUUUUUAAAAUUUAGAAAUAUAAAUUAGCACAAAAUGGAAAAAAGUAAAAUACAAAUACUUCAACAAUAGUGUGAGUACAUGUGAGUUCUACUUACAGUCCACCACUGGUUUGAUAACACAAUGUAUAAAUCAACAUGCAACAAAUAAAUGUGAUGUAAACAUGGUGAAUGUAAAAUGUGAAUAAAGAAACAGACACGUGAUUUGACUUUAUUUUCUAUGUUCUACUUUGUUGUGUUUUCUUCCUCAUUAAACAUAACCUGUCUAUUUAACAGCAGGGGCAUAAGAAGUGCAUUUAUAUAAAUAGGGGAUUCCGUUGCCGGUGUUAACUCUUUAUAUGCUAAAUGUGUUACUAAUUUUACAUUUCCCUAACUUUAAACAUAAAGUUUACAAUACUAAUCUGCCUCACCUUUUAAAAAAACAAUCCACUUUUGCUAUUAUUGCAUAAAUGAAACAACAUCUUGUCACCACGCCACCCCCUCCGGCCCGAGUUGGUCUCGUCCGUGACUCGACAGCAUUAAACGCACGUGUUGGGUGUGUUGUGUUGAGGAUUGCAGCGAUAUUACAGCAUUUAGCGAACCUCCGCGCUGUCACGUCACCGGUUACACUUUAAUCACAACAGCGACAAAAGCGACAAGUGUCCCAGUCAAUGAGAAACACCGUCACAAGCAGAGUAACGGCAGAAAACACUCGAGGUGUGGAGGGGUGACACGCGUGUUAGCGUGGCAGCAGACGGUUACCGUUCACCGGAC